Molecule: ribosomal RNA, 615 nt
Filed under: Bacillus cereus
Lineage: Bacteria; Bacillati; Bacillota; Bacilli; Caryophanales; Bacillaceae
Description: bacterial SSU rRNA
Rfam family: Bacterial small subunit ribosomal RNA
Source: RNAcentral
UGCAGUCGAGCGAAUGGAUUAAGAGCUUGCUCUUAUGAAGUUAGCGGCGGACGGGUGAGUAACACGUGGGUAACCUGCCCAUAAGACUGGAAUAACUCCGNAAAACCGGGGCUAAUACCGGAUAACAUUUUGAACCGCAUGGUUCGAAAUUGAAAGGCGGCUUCGGCUGUCACUUAUGGAUGGACCCGCGUCGCAUUAGCUAGUUGGUGAGGUAACGGCUCACCAAGGCAACGAUGCGUAGCCGACCUGAGAGGGUGAUCGGCCACACUGGGACUGAGACACGGCCCAGACUCCUACGGGAGGCAGCAGUAGGGAAUCUUCCGCAAUGGACGAAAGUCUGACGGAGCAACGCCGCGUGAGUGAUGAAGGCUUUCGGGUCGUAAAACUCUGUUGUUAGGGAAGAACAAGUGCUAGUUGAAUAAGCUGGCACCUUGACGGUACCUAACCAGAAAGCCACGGCUAACUACGUGCCAGCAGCCGCGGUAAUACGUAGGUGGCAAGCGUUAUCCGGAAUUAUUGGGCGUAAAGCGCGCGCAGGUGGUUUCUUAAGUCUGAUGUGAAAGCCCACGGCUCAACCGUGGAGGGUCAUUGGAAACUGGGAGACUUGAGUGCAGA